Molecule: long non-coding RNA, 1211 nt
Organism: Trichomycterus rosablanca
Lineage: Eukaryota; Metazoa; Chordata; Actinopteri; Siluriformes; Trichomycteridae
Exons: 3
Source: RefSeq, a predicted model, not a curated record
CCGACAGCACCCGAUCAGAGCCGAUAAGGAGUGGAACCGACUGGAGCCGAAUGACACAUCCCGAGUGAAGCCGAGUGGAACCGAAUGACGCGUCCCGAGUGAAGCCGAGUGUAGCCGAAUGAUGCUAGCCGAGUGGAACCGACAGCACCCGAUCAGAGCCGAUGUGGAUACGGUUCACAUGAGAAGACAUGAACUGCUGAGCCGAGCGAGGGAAAGCCGAGUGUAACCGACUGGAGCCGAACGACGCGUCCCGAGUAUAGCCGAGUGGAACCGACUGGAGCCGAAGUAGAUACGGUUCGCAUGAGAAGGGGAAAAAGGAGGGGAACAGGGUAAAACUAUGAAGGGGAUGGUUGUAUACAUGUGGACACGUCUCAGCCCGUUCACCUCCCCCCCCAAAAUCCAUAACUUUGUACCUUUACUAUUACCCCCUUAAGUUCCUGGAUCUUAUUAAUAGAAUGUAAAGACUAAUUGGGAAAGUGCGCAAAAUUCAACAUGCUUUGGGAUUUAAUGCUAGAACACGCAAAGAACAUGCAGCAUACUAAUAAAAACAUCAACUGGACGAAAGUUUGCACACCCGCCCUUGGUAUUUCAGUUUCUACAAGAAUGAUUCAAUGAGUGGAAAACACACAGAACAGAAUAAUGCAACACCAAAUAAAUGCAAUCAAGUCUCACCACACAGCCAUCCGGUCUUUGGGGUAGUUCAGGCGGUCGAUAGCACCCAGAACAUGCGGGAGAGAGUGCUCGGAGUUGCGGCACACCAGCGCCAUGAGCACCCGCGGAGCCAGCAGCGAAGACUCGGGGCUCCAGCGUUCCUCCAUAAAAUACCCGAACCCCGGGGUGAUGAGGGUGAUGAGCAGCGCCGAGGCUCCGGACAGCAGCAGGGCGAGCCGGAUCAUGGCGGGACUAGACGGGAAAGAGCAGCCUGAACGAACUCAACCUGGUCCGGGUCGGUGUGGCACACUCAUCCAUUGAAGUGCAGCUCCUAAAAAAUGUGCAGGAACGUCUCUGGUUACAUGCCUGCUGUGCCGCGCAUGCGCACACUGACAGACUCAACAGGCAGGCAGAUUCUCAGAUACAGGACGAUCCCUGAGGGCAGGAGCUUCAAACCCAGAUCUCUGGGUCCUAGCUGCUGUGCGGCACCCACGUACCACCCCACAACAGCAGAACUUUUUUUUUUUUUUUUAAACAAAUAAAUGAUCACAGUACCUAUA